This 497-nucleotide ribosomal RNA is filed under the name uncultured bacterium. RNAcentral describes it as "partial 16S ribosomal RNA". It matches the Rfam family "Bacterial small subunit ribosomal RNA", at positions 28 to 507 of the family's 1533-position model. The record is from RNAcentral.
GAUGAACGCUGGCGGCGUGCCUAAUACAUGCAAGUCGAGCGAACGGACGAGAAGCUUGCUUCUCUGAUGUUAGCGGCGGACGGGUGAGUAACACGUGGAUAACCUACCUAUAAGACUGGGAUAACUUCGGGAAACCGGAGCUAAUAACGGAUAAUAUUUUAAAGCGCAUGGUUCAAAAGUGAAAGACGGCCUUGCUGUCACUUAUAGAUGGAUCCGCGCUGCAUUAGCUAGUUGGUAAGGUAACGGCUUACCAAGGCAACGAUGCAUAGCCGACCUGAGAGAGUGAUCGGCCACACUGGAACUGAGACACGGUCCAGACUCCUACGGGAGGCAGCAGUAGGGAAUCUUCCACAAUGGGCGAAAGCCUGACGGAGCAACGCCGCGUGAGUGAUGAAGGUCUUCGGAUCGUAAAACUCUGUUAUUAGGGAAGAACAUAUGUGUAAGUAACUGUGCACAUCUUGACGGUACCUAAUCAGAAAGCCACGGCUAACUACGUG